This 751-nucleotide non-coding RNA is filed under the name Pongo abelii (Sumatran orangutan). The record is from RNAcentral. Lineage: Eukaryota; Metazoa; Chordata; Mammalia; Primates; Hominidae.
GGCUGGCUGGCGUGUGUCCACCGUCCCCUAGACGCCUCGAGCCCCGCCCCUGGGAGACGCAGGCUCCUCCCCGCGGAGCGAGAGCCCGCGGAGCUGCUCCCAGACCCGCGGGAGGGCACCUCCGGUCACCCGAGCCGCAAAUCCCCGCCGUCCAAAGAAGGUGUCGCCCCGGGCUGGCGGCCCAGCGUGGCUUAGGCCAGGUACAGCCGGCAGCGCCCGCCAAGCCCUGGGCUAGGGUCGCCUGCGGGAGUUCACGGGGAGGCGCCGGUGUCUGAGGUCUGAGAAGACAACGGCCACCGGAAAAGGUGCUAGUGUUUGCAGACCCCGAUCCAUCGACACCCCAAGGAAAUGCUGUGCACAAAAUUCCAAGAGGGCCUUUUCGAAUAGACGCAUGAGCGGUGUUUGUGUCUAGAUCGUCCAGCCUCCCGGGAUCGAUUGGGAAUCUAGCUUCUGCUUGUCUUUCCAGCGCGACGCACAGUAGGAGCCUAAUGUUUGUUGAAUGAAUGCUGAAUAUCGAACUCGUCUCUGGAGGCCAGAAGCCUAAGAUCCAGGUGUCUGCAGGACCCUGUUCCCUCCUCUGCAGGCUCUGGGGGAGGCUCCUUCUUGCCUCUUCCAGUUCCCGGGGGAUCUGGGUGUCCCCUGGCUUGUGGCGGCACCACUCUAUUCUCUGUGAAUCCACGUGGCCUUCUCCUCUGUGUUUGUGACUUCUUUCCUUCUUAUAAGGACACCUGUCAUUGGAUUUAGGGCCCUA